GCCCUCUUAACUUUAAUGGUAGAGUGCCUGUCUUGUAAACAGGAAGUUGUCGGUUCGAGUCCGGCAGAGGGCU
RNAcentral lists this transfer RNA (73 nucleotides) under Bacteriophage sp. RNAcentral's name for it is "tRNA-Thr". It matches the Rfam family "tRNA". From Rfam's summary of the family: Transfer RNA (tRNA) molecules are approximately 80 nucleotides in length. Their secondary structure includes four short double-helical elements and three loops (D, anti-codon, and T loops). The record is from RNAcentral.